GGGCUGUGUGACCUUGGACAAGUCUGAGCCUCAGCUGAUUCACAUGAGGAGUUGGAAGGAGUCCCUAAUACCCUCUCACUGGAUUUAUGAGUGCCUAAGAGGGGGUCCUGUUUAUAGUGUAUGGAGUUACAGCCUCCCAAGACUGGAAGCGACUGUGCUCAAGAAAAAUACAGACCGGACACUAGCUAACCUUACCUGCCUGCUCCACCUUCAAAGGGCAGAGAGCACCAACAGUGGGAGACUUCAGGCUGGACACUUUACUCAGAUGACUAGCAAAGAAGGCAUGGCCAGGACUGACUUACCCACAUCAACCAGGGAAAGGUGAUAUGACUUGCCCAAGCACCAAGCCUGUUGACUACAGAGACAAACUGAUGCUCCUACUAUCCUAACAUCAUUACCAGCUAUACUACCUGUGAUGUACUAGUUAUCUAUUGCUG
This 437-nucleotide long non-coding RNA is filed under the name Equus asinus (donkey). RNAcentral describes it as "lncRNA (ENSEASG00005024230.1)". The record is from RNAcentral. Lineage: Eukaryota; Metazoa; Chordata; Mammalia; Perissodactyla; Equidae.